This is a non-coding RNA of Gigaspora rosea, 71 nucleotides long. The record is from the annotation of a GenBank genome assembly. Lineage: Eukaryota; Fungi; Glomeromycota; Glomeromycetes; Diversisporales; Gigasporaceae.
GCGCGUGUGGUUUAGUGGUAUAAUUGCCGCCUGCCACGCGGCAGACCCGGGUUCAAUUCCCGGCGCGCGCA